UGGUGACGUUUGGCACUUUCUCACUCACCCACAAAACUAGACGAGUUCCAACUAUGCAUACUAACCUCCUCUGGGAGUAGCAGGAUGUUUCUUCUAGUUCAAUUUUCUUUGGCAAAAUCAUAAUCUUGAAGAUAAUGAUACCAAGUUAGUAAUUCUUUUUUGAUGAUAUCUGUGAAUGCCAUGAACAAGAACCAGGAGCUGCCUGGUUUCAUUCUAUUGUAAGUUGAAGGAAAAAGAACAAUAGCUAACAUUAAUUAAAUUUAAAUUUAUCCAAAUAAAUGUUGGUGUUAGAACUUGUUUUGAUUAUGCUUAAGUACAUACAUACAAAAUGCUGACUAAAUUCGGCUAAACCAUUUUAUUUUAUUUUUUUAAGAUUUUAUUUAUUUAUUUGACAGAGAGACAGCCAGCCAGCGAGAGAGGGAACACAAGCAGAGGGAGCGGGAGAGGAAGAAGCGGGCUUCCAGCGGAGCAUGGAGCCCGACACUGGGCUCGAUCCCAGGACCCUGGAACCAAGCCCUGAGCCAAAGGCAGAUGCUUAAUUACUGAGCCACCAAGGCGCCCCUUGGCUAAACCAUUUUAAUAACAUUAUCUAAUAAUGUUAAGAGGACGAUGCUUUUAAAUCAGAUGUCACCACAUUUCUAAGGUUCAUUUUGCUUGUAAAAAAUAAGAUUAGUGCUUGGCAGUUAUAUGUGGAUGACAACGAGGAUUUUCAGGGUUCUCUUUGGCCACAAGCAUCACAGCCUCAGGCAGAAGCCAUGGACCUCCUUAUUCGUCAGGCCAAGCAAGCCUGGAAAACUUUCCACCAAACCAGCCGGAGGCACUCUGGGACUUUGGUGGAGCCAAGAGGGUACAUCAGGCCUCAGUGGCCAUAGAGCGAGGCCAUCUGGUCCUGAAUGAAGCACCCACCGGCGCUGGGAAAACUGAUACUAGCCGUAACUUUCAUUAGCAACACUCCUGCAUGCCAAAAGCCCCUGCAGAACCGUAGUAUUCAUUCUACUCUGUCGUUACAGAUAAUAUAAU
RNAcentral lists this long non-coding RNA (1020 nucleotides) under Ursus maritimus (polar bear). RNAcentral describes it as "lncRNA (ENSUMAG00000025284.1)". Lineage: Eukaryota; Metazoa; Chordata; Mammalia; Carnivora; Ursidae. The record is from RNAcentral.